GAUGAACGCUGGCGGCGUGCCUAAUACAUGCAAGUCGAGCGAACAGACGAGGAGCUUGCUCCUUCGACGUUAGCGGCGGACGGGUGAGUAACACGUAGGUAACCUACCUAUAAGACUGGGAUAACUUCGGGAAACCGGAGCUAAUACCGGAUAAUAUUUCGAACCGCAUGGUUCGAUAGUGAAAGAUGGCUUUGCUAUCACUUAUAGAUGGACCUGCGCCGUAUUAGCUAGUUGGUAAGGUAACGGCUUACCAAGGCAACGAUACGUAGCCGACCUGAGAGGGUGAUCGGCCACACUGGAAGUGAGACACGGUCCAGACUCCUACGGGAGGGAGCAGUAGGGAAUCUUACGCAAUGGGCGAAAGCCUGACGGAGCAACGCCGCGUGAGUGAUGAAGGUCUUCGGAUCGUAAAACUCUGUUAUUAGGGAAGAACAAACGUGUAAGUAACUGUGCACGUCUUGACGGUACCUAAUCAGAAAGCCACGGCUAACUACGUG
Molecule: ribosomal RNA, 497 nt
Filed under: uncultured bacterium
Lineage: Bacteria
Description: partial 16S ribosomal RNA
Rfam family: Bacterial small subunit ribosomal RNA
Source: RNAcentral